UCCUCCUAUCAUUCAUACCUACCUCUUCCAUCUAUGCCCAAUAUCUGUAUCUCCAGAUCUCAUCUUCGUAGUUUAUCUUCUUCAAAUUUCAUGUUCAGAUCUGUGUAGAUCGGUUUUCGAUCUACCUUUUGAAUAUGGUUGUGCUGUGUUUCUGUAACAGCUCAGCCAUUGAUCAACCGAGCUGUGUAACUGUUCGAUUUCCGUCGACUAUGGCCGUUGAUUGACGAGGAGCUUGUAGAUCUGAUGCUUUUCGCAAUGGCUCGAUGUAGGUGAGCAUCAGAUCUGUUUGGUCUUCAGAGAUAUGUUGAAGUUGGAUCAGUAGUUUGAGCAACCAAGGUGUUAUUUUACCGAGGCUUCAACCGUAGUUUGCUAGAGCUUUACCGAUCUGAAUAGAGAUGCAAGGACUACUGAAUCGUUGCUGCCGUCGUUUUGAGUCAAUCGGUUUGGACCGGUGAUCAUCGGUCGGGGAUUGAAAUCUGCUAGCGUGAUGGUGUAUCUAAGGUUAUAAUAGUUUAAUUUGAUGUCUAUAAUUAUUUGAAUGGCUCAUGUGCAUUAUUUUUUCAUUUUAUGCAUGCAUAUGUACGAGAGGAUGAAAGAUUGAGUGACUUUGUGUGAGAUAUGAGAGGAAAAAGUGAGGUAUUUAUUGUUCAUGUUACCAGGCCUUUGCCAUGUUGGGUGCGCUCACAUGGCAGGUCAAAAGUACCUAAUAAAAGUAUUUAUUUUCGGUGUUGGGGAGAGGAGACGGCACGGAGUUUUGCCCGGCUCUCCUCUCUUCGUCUGUCUGCUUCUUUUUUAUUUUUUCCUGUUCUUUCCUUGCUCCUGCGUUCAAAAACUUUGCGUCGAUCAGUGGUUACUUGUCGUUGAAUAGGCCUUGUGAUUACUGUUGUGUAUUUUGAGGCGAGGCCUAUUCAAGGACAAGUAAUUCAUGUUGAUUUGCUCACCACGGUGAUGGACACAAGCAACGUUUCUACUGCAGCACGUCACUAGAGGUACAAUAUCAAUUCUCUUAGUUUAAGUUAACUUUCACAUUUUUCAUAAUAUUAGUCAAUUCUAAAAUAAUUGCCUUAAUUAUUCCCAUUUUUCACAUUUUUCAUAAUAUGAGUAUUAGUUACUUUAGAAUAUAUUUUGGCCGCUGUUAAUUGGCUUGUGAACUUGCCAAUUUGAGCACCUCAUAAUAUUCCCACAAAGUGGUUUAAUAAAAUUUAUGCUCCUAAAUAGGAUCCCUAAUUCAUGAUGUUCCAUGAAAAUGGUAAUUACACCUUUAUUGGUUAUGGUAAGCUUAUGUUUUAAUGAAAUCUGAAAAUGGAACCAACUGUUAGUUGCGAUUGGUCAUGGAGCAUAAAAUUAGAAUUGGUAUUGCAAAGUUGUAUCUAAGCUCCUUAUUAUUCUCUAAUAAGGUUUGAUCUCGUUGUUUAAGCCUAAAGUUUCCCCAGAUAUUUAAGAAACUAUAAUCAGUAGUGAUAUUGGAAUAGUAAUUGGUUUAUUUAUCUAUAUGGUGGAUAAAAUAGCGGAAUUAACAAGCUGUCAUCUUACGAAAUGUUGCGGAAAUUCAUGGUGUUAUUACAAAAGCUCGCGAAACUGAAACUUCCAUUUUCAUUAAUUCUGCAUAUUCAACUUAAUUCGGUAUUCUCCUUUUAUAUAUACCAAUUUUUGAUUACUUAGUAAAUAAUACCUAGUUAUUUAGUAUUCAUGAGUUAUUGUUUUUAAGUAGUCAUGUCUUCUUUGGCAAGAGUCUAGUCGGUGCUUAGCUGUGUUCUCUUGAUCUAUGAUGUAAUAGUUUCAUUCCAAUGGGAGUUCUUUGUUAUGGUACCCCUGUUGUAGUUUUUUGGGAGGGGUACCUUGUGUAGGCAGGUUUGGAACUUUGACCUUAAAAACAAUUCAGUGUAUUCCGGUUAGAUUUGAUGCAUAUCAAAUGAUGGUGGGUGGCCGUUCCUUCCAAUAAGCUGGAGGCGCAUUGGUGCUGACUGAAGUUCAAAUUUUUGGUGCUGCAUCUUGACAUAUAGUGCUGCUUCUAGUGAUUGUGAAGCUUUGUUCACCCGUGAUCAUCAAGUAAUGGACCUGCUGCUGCUGUUGAAGAUUUGAUGGCCUGUGUUGUGCUUUCUGCUCCAGCAAGUCUCAACAUUGGUUGGUUUUACAAGUCGUUUCAUCCAAGAUGAAGUGUGACGGAAGAUGUUAGAGCUUGUUGCUGUUGCUUGUUUGGGUCUGUGGUUUUCAUUAUGUUUGCGAGCUGUGAGCAAAAGUUUCAACACCAGUUGGUUUUGCAAGCAGGUUCAUCCAAGAUGAAGUGUCAGACGGAGGUUGUCAAGUCUGUAUAUCCCAAAGAAUUUAAAGAAGCGUAUUUUCUGAAUGGAAAACUGAAGCUAGCUCAUUUGAAGAGUUGGUAUGGUAUUUCUUUUUGGAAGUAUUUUCUCAGGAAAACCUUGUAACAGGCAACAAGCAACUGAUAUCUAGUCUUGAACUGUGUUGUGCUUUCUGGCAUUCUGAGGGCAUGAAUAAUUUAAUUGCCUGCCUGCAAACCGGACCGUUCCUCAUGUUUGUAAGAAUGUGGCAUUACCAGUUUUUACACAGGCGGUCUGCUGUUGCGAAUCCGCCGGUUCGACUGUCCAGUCAUAAGAUUGUCUUUGUAGUAUAGAGGUACAGUUUGGGGAGACCGUUAAUUCCCCUUGAUAAUUUGGUUUCAGAUUGGCAUUGUAUUUAUUAGUAGAAGGGAACUUGCAUGCAGGAUACAUUUUUGCAAUAUUUCUUGACACAGUACGGUUGGGUGACGUGGUAGUCUUGGGCAGUACAUGUUCAUCUUUUUAAUAAGUUAUAAUAUUUUAGAUUAUUAUUAUUAUUAUUAUUA
Nicotiana tabacum (common tobacco) is the source of this 2842-nucleotide non-coding RNA. The record is from RefSeq and is a predicted model, not a curated record. Lineage: Eukaryota; Viridiplantae; Streptophyta; Magnoliopsida; Solanales; Solanaceae.